Non-coding RNA from Triticum aestivum (bread wheat), 92 nucleotides. Lineage: Eukaryota; Viridiplantae; Streptophyta; Magnoliopsida; Poales; Poaceae. The record is from Rfam.
AAAACUAGCCAGUCCUUUGGGUAUGAAAUCCAUUUGGGCGACAGUAGUACUAGGAUGGGCGACCUCUUGGGAAGUCCUCGUGAAAGGGUUUC